Mirounga angustirostris (Northern elephant seal) is the source of this 1004-nucleotide long non-coding RNA. RefSeq lists it as uncharacterized. Lineage: Eukaryota; Metazoa; Chordata; Mammalia; Carnivora; Phocidae. The transcript is spliced from 3 exons. The record is from RefSeq and is a predicted model, not a curated record.
CACACUGGGAACUAAAUUAACGGCGGUUCUGACUGCAAGGGGUGGGGGCUUGCGAUCUAAACCGUGAAGAGAUCUUGGGGUCUUACACUGCGCCAUUAGGCUGCGGCACGCCUCGGCCCGCCGCGGCUACAGUGAGAGGCCUUGCCACCGCCGCUCUCGCCCAGGCCUCUAUUGCGGCUUCCACCUCUACGCGGUCACGGCAGCCCAGCCCCGCCCCGCCCUACGCUACUGCUACCUUCGCCGCUGCUGCAACCUCCUCAGCCCGGGCCUCCGCCGCUACCCAAGCAUCCCUUUGAAUGGGGGCAACUGUCCCAAAGUGUGAUGUGUGAAGAGGUAGGAAGAAAGGAGCUUGAGCAUCUCAGUAGCUUCAAUUCAGAUGAUUCUGUUGCACAUGCAGGAUUGAGAACCACAGAACAAUGUAGAGAAGAAUCUCCAAGAGGAGUGUUAUAUAAUGUUCUCUAAAUGUAUUGACCUCAGAAAACCUUUUCUACAGCAAAGCUAUUAACUCUCCUAAUUGACUAGUGUUCCUGAAAUACCAGUUUGGUGAAUUUGGCUUUGGCUAAAAAUGUAAAUUAGCCCCUCUUCAUUUAUUGGUAAAAACAUCCCUUGACAUUCAAAAAAAAUAUUCUGUUAAAAAAAUUUUUUUGAGACAAAGAACUCAUAGAAAGAUGCAAAUAUAGUACAGAAAGGUCCUGUGCACCCUAUACCCAGCUGUUCCAAAUGGUAACACCUUACAUGACUAUCUAUAGUACAAUACCCAAAUCAGCAAAUUAACAUGUACAAUCUACAGACCUCAUUCAGAUUUUGUCACAUUUUACAUGCAUUCCUGUAUGUGUGUGCAUGGAUGUGUGUGUGUGCAUGCACAUGCACGUGCGUGUGUGCACGUGUGUGUGUGUGUGUGGUUCUGUGUAGUUUUACCACAUAUACAGAUUCAUGGAACUACCACUGCAAUCAAGAUUCAGACCUGUUCCAUUAUCACAAAUUAACUCCCUCAUACUAAUGUC